GCUGAACGCUAGCGACAGGCUUAACACAUGCAAGUCGAGGGGCAGCGAGGCGGUAGCAAUACCGCUGUCGGCGACCGGCGCACUGGUGAGUAACACGUAUGCGACCUGCCCCCUACAGGGGUAUAACCCGUAGAAAUGCGGACUAAUCCCCCAUAGUCCCGGAGGCUGCAUGGCCUGCGGGGGAAAGGGUUUCCGGUAGGGGAUGGGCAUGCGGCGCAUUAGCUAGUUGGCGGGGCAACGGCCCACCAAGGCGACGAUGCGUAGGGGUUCUGAGAGGAAGGUCCCCCACACUGGUACUGAGACACGGACCAGACUCCUACGGGAGGCAGCAGUGAGGAAUAUUGGUCAAUGGGCGCAGGCCUGAACCAGCCAAGUCGCGUGAGGGAGGACGGUCCUACGGAUUGUAAACCUCUUUUGUCGGGGAGUAACGUGCGGGACGCGUCCCGUAUUGAGAGUACCCGAAGAAAAGCAUCGGCUAACUCCGUG
This 486-nucleotide ribosomal RNA is filed under the name uncultured bacterium. RNAcentral's name for it is "bacterial SSU rRNA". It matches the Rfam family "Bacterial small subunit ribosomal RNA", at positions 30 to 507 of the family's 1533-position model. The record is from RNAcentral.